RNAcentral lists this ribosomal RNA (253 nucleotides) under uncultured bacterium. RNAcentral describes it as "partial 16S ribosomal RNA". It matches the Rfam family "Bacterial small subunit ribosomal RNA", at positions 524 to 776 of the family's 1533-position model. The record is from RNAcentral.
UACGUAGGGAGCUAGCGUUGUUCGGAAUUACUGGGCGUAAAGCGCACGUAGGCGGCGAUUCAAGUCAGAGGUGAAAGCCCGGGGCUCAACCCCGGAACUGCCUUUGAAACUAGAUUGCUAGAAUCCUGGAGAGGCGAGUGGAAUUCCGAGUGUAGAGGUGAAAUUCGUAGAUAUUCGGAAGAACACCAGUGGCGAAGGCGACUCGCUGGACAGGUAUUGACGCUGAGGUGCGAAAGCGUGGGGAGCAAACAGG